AGAUUUAAUUCCGCCUGUAUUGUACUUGGGCUGCAGUUUUUGCAUGAUCGGAACAUCACCCAUAGGGAUUUAAAACUAGAAAAUGUAUUACUGGAUAGAGAUGGAUACGCCAAAAUUACUGACUUUGGCAUUAGCAAAGAAGGAAUGAGUUUUACAGACAGAAGCCAAACUCAAUGUGGAACUUUGCUGUAUAUGGCUCGGAAAUGUUUACACAGUAUCCCUACACAAGAUCAGUGGACUGGUGGGGAUUGGGAGUGUGCAUUUAUUUAAUGCGCCUCAGGCAGAUACCCUUUACAGGAGAUGACGCUGAUGAAAUUAUUCAUAACAUUGUCUAUGAAGAGCCGAUAUAUCCGCCAUCCCUAACCCCGGAAAUCUACAAUAUAAUAACACAAGUGAGUUCUAAUGUGCAAUGUGAGACGGCCCCUUCCAUUGUCACUCACACCCACGCUUAUAUUUGUCCUUACUGUUAGACACACAGUUUUACAUUCUA
This is a long non-coding RNA of Xenopus laevis (African clawed frog), 490 nucleotides long. RefSeq lists it as uncharacterized. The transcript has 4 exons. The record is from RefSeq and is a predicted model, not a curated record. Lineage: Eukaryota; Metazoa; Chordata; Amphibia; Anura; Pipidae.